This 22-nucleotide microRNA is filed under the name Medicago truncatula (barrel medic). RNAcentral describes it as "mtr-miR2589". Lineage: Eukaryota; Viridiplantae; Streptophyta; Magnoliopsida; Fabales; Fabaceae. The record is from miRBase by way of RNAcentral.
GGCAUCCACGUGUGCUUCACCG